RNAcentral lists this ribosomal RNA (496 nucleotides) under uncultured bacterium. RNAcentral's name for it is "partial 16S ribosomal RNA". It matches the Rfam family "Bacterial small subunit ribosomal RNA", at positions 29 to 507 of the family's 1533-position model. The record is from RNAcentral.
AUGAACGCUGGCGGCGUGCCUAAUCCAUGCCAGUCGAGCGCACAGACGAGGAGCUUGCUCCUCUGACGUUAGCGGCGGACGGGUGAGUAACACGUGGAUAACCUACCUAUAAGACUGGGAUAACUUCGGGAAACCGGAGCUAAUACCGGAUAAUAUAUUGAACCGCAUGGUUCAAUAGUGAAAGACGGUUUUGCUGUCACUUAUAGUUGGAUCCGCGCCGCAUUAGCUAGUUGGUAAGGUAACGGCUUACCAAGGCAACGAUGCGUAGCCGACCUGAGAGGGUGAUCGGCCACACUGGAACUGAGACACGGUCCAGACUCCUACGGGAGGCAGCAGUAGGGAAUCUUCCGCAAUGGGCGAAAGCCUGACGGAGCAACGCCGCGUGAGUGAUGAAGGUCUUCGGAUCGUAAAACUCUGUUAUUAGGGAAGAACAAAUGUGUAAGUAACUAUGCACGUCUUGACGGUACCUAAUCAGAAAGCCACGGCUAACUACGUG